GUAGGUGAACCUGCGGAAGGAUCAUUAGCCUAUAUCAUCGGGGGGCCGGCCUUGGAAAAGCGCACCCAUGUGGUGUUGGCGUAGCUGCCAUUCACGCUUUUCCUCCCCGCCCUGUCUGAAUAUACCCAUGUUUUUUGCGCACCCAUUGUUUCCUCGGCGGGCUUGCCUGCCAGUAGGACCCUUUAAACCCCUUGCAAUUGCAGUCAGCGUCGGAAAAACGUAACAGUUACAACUUUCAACAACGGAUCUC
Molecule: unclassified non-coding RNA, 250 nt
Filed under: plant metagenome
Description: partial contains small subunit ribosomal RNA, internal transcribed spacer 1, and 5.8S ribosomal RNA
Source: RNAcentral